Molecule: unclassified non-coding RNA, 401 nt
Filed under: soil metagenome
Description: partial contains small subunit ribosomal RNA, internal transcribed spacer 1, and 5.8S ribosomal RNA
Source: RNAcentral
UUUCCGUAGGUGAACCUGCGGAAGGAUCAUUGCACACACAAGUUGCAGCCAACAAGCCCUUUGGGCGCGAAUCUUACCAUUGUCCCCCUUCACUUGUUCUGGGGGGCUGGGGCGCUUUCAACCGCUCGCCAACUAGCUUGAUCUCUAGCUGGCUGAGUAUGGGGGGAGUGUCUCGGCCUUCUCUCGACUGCUCGCACACUAACUGAUCACUAGGUUGGGCGAGUACGUUGGGGGGAUUCCCUUGGCCCUCCGGAACAAGUUGUUCCAACCGAUUGCGCAAUGCAUCAACACCUCCAAAUAUGACUGAGUAUAAAAACCUUAGGGCUCCCUCCUUAGGGUGGGGGGUCCUCGAGUUGUAAUAUAAACAAAAACAACUCUCAGCAACGGAUAUCUUGGCUCUU